GAUGAACGCUGGCGGCGUGCCUAAUACAUGCGAGUCGAGCGAACGGACGAGAAGCUUGCUUCUCUGAUGUUAGCGGCGGACGGGUGAGUAACACGUGGAUAACCUACCUAUAAGACUGGGAUAACUUCGGGAAACCGGAGCUAAUACCGGAUGAUAUUUUGAACCGCAUGGUUCAAAAGUGAAAGACGGUCUUGCUGUCACUUAUAGAUGGAUCCGCGCUGCAUUAGCUAGUUGGUAAGGUAACGACUUACCAAGGCAACGAUGCAUAGCCGACCUGAGAGGGUGAUCGGCCACACUGGAACUGGGACACGGUCCAGACUCCUACGGGAGGCAGCAGUAGGGAAUCUUCCGCAAUGGGCGAAAGCCUGACGGAGCAACGCCGCGUGAGUGAUGAAGGUCUUCGGAUCGUAAAACUCUGUUAUUAGGGAAGAACAUAUGUGUAAGUAACUGUGCACAUCUUGACGGUACCUAAUCAGAAAGCCACGGCUAACUACGUG
RNAcentral lists this ribosomal RNA (497 nucleotides) under uncultured bacterium. Its description in RNAcentral is "partial 16S ribosomal RNA". It matches the Rfam family "Bacterial small subunit ribosomal RNA", at positions 28 to 507 of the family's 1533-position model. The record is from RNAcentral.